AUGCACGCUGGCGGCGUGCCUAAUACAUGCCAGUCGAGCGAACAGACGAGGAGCUUGCUCCUCUGACGUUAGCGGCGGACGGGUGAGUAACACGUGGAUAACCUACCUAUAAGACUGGGAUAACUUCGGGAAACCGGAGCUAAUACCGGAUAAUAUAUUGAACCGCAUGGUUCAAUAGUGAAAGACGGUUUUGCUGUCACUUAUAGAUGGAUCCGCGCCGCAUUAGCUAGUUGGUAAGGUAACGGCUUACCAAGGCAACGAUGCGUAGCCGACCUGAGAGGGUGAUCGGCCACACUGGAACUGAGACACGGUCCAGACUCCUACGGGAGGCAGCAGUAGGGAAUCUUCCGCAAUGGGCGAAAGCUUGACGGGGCAACGCCGCGUGAGUGAUGAAGGUCUUCGGAUCGUAAAACUCUGUUAUUAGGGAAGAACAAAUGUGUAAGUAACUAUGCACGUCUUGACGGUACCUAAUCAGAAAGCCACGGCUAACUACGUG
RNAcentral lists this ribosomal RNA (496 nucleotides) under uncultured bacterium. RNAcentral's name for it is "partial 16S ribosomal RNA". It matches the Rfam family "Bacterial small subunit ribosomal RNA", at positions 29 to 507 of the family's 1533-position model. The record is from RNAcentral.